Molecule: ribosomal RNA, 253 nt
Filed under: uncultured bacterium
Lineage: Bacteria
Description: partial 16S ribosomal RNA
Rfam family: Bacterial small subunit ribosomal RNA
Source: RNAcentral
GACAGAGGAGGCAAGCGUUAUACGGAAUUACUGGGCGUAAAGCGUCCGUAGGUGGUCUGACAAGUCUGGGGUUAAAGCCCGGAGCCUAACUCCGGAUCAGCCCUGGAAACUGCCAGACUAGAGUAAGGUACGGGUUGCGGGAAUUCCCGGUGUAGAGGUGAAAUGCGUAGAUAUCGGGAAGAACACCAGUGGCGAAAGCGCGCAACUGGGCCAUUACUGACAAUGAGGGACGAAAGCUAGGGGAGCGAAUGGG